Molecule: ribosomal RNA, 663 nt
Filed under: uncultured Bacilli bacterium
Lineage: Bacteria; Bacillati; Bacillota; Bacilli
Description: bacterial SSU rRNA
Rfam family: Bacterial small subunit ribosomal RNA
Source: RNAcentral
GAGCUUGCUCCACCGGAAAAAGAGGAGCGGCGAACGGGUGAGUAACACGUGGGUAACCUGCCCAUCAGAAGGGGAUAACACUUGGAAACAGGUGCUAAUACCGUAUAACAAUCAAAACCGCAUGGUUUUGAUUUGAAAGGCGCUUUCGGGUGUCGCUGAUGGAUGGACCCGCGGUGCAUUAGCUAGUUGGUGAGGUAACGGCUCACCAAGGCCACGAUGCAUAGCCGACCUGAGAGGGUGAUCGGCCACAUUGGGACUGAGACACGGCCUAAACUCCUACGGGAGGCAGCAGUAGGGAAUCUUCGGCAAUGGACGAAAGUCUGACCGAGCAACGCCGCGUGAGUGAAGAAGGUUUUCGGAUCGUAAAACUCUGUUGUUAGAGAAGAACAAGGAUGAGAGUAACUGUUCACCCCUUGACGGUAUCUAACCAGAAAGCCACGGCUAACUACGUGCCAGCAGCCGCGGUAAUACGUAGGUGGCAAGCGUUGUCCGGAUUUAUUGGGCGUAAAGCGAGCGCAGGCGGUUUCUUAAGUCUGAUGUGAAAGCCCCCGGCUCAACCGGGGAGGGUCAUUGGAAACUGGGAGACUUGAGUGCAGAAGAGGAGAGUGGAAUUCCAUGUGUAGCGGUGAAAUGCGUAGAUAUAUGGAGGAACACCAGUGGCGA